UAGGGAAUCUUCGGCAAUGGACGGAAGUCUGACCGAGCAACGCCGCGUGAGUGAAGAAGGUUUUCGGAUCGUAAAGCUCUGUUGUUAGAGAAGAAUGAUGGUGGGAGUGGAAAAUCCACCAUGUGACGGUAACUAACCAGAAAGGGACGGCUAACUACGUGCCAGCAGCCGCGGUAAUACGUAGGUCCCGAGCGUUGUCCGGAUUUAUUGGGCGUAAAGCGAGCGCAGGCGGUUCUUUAAGUCUGAAGUUAAAGGCAGUGGCUCAACCAUUGUACGCUUUGGAAACUGGAGAACUUGAGUGCAGAAGGGGAGAGUGGAAUUCCAUGUGUAGCGGUGAAAUGCGUAGAUAUAUGGAGGAACACCGAUGGCGAAGGCAGGUCUCUGGGCAGUAACUGACGCUGAGGGGCGAAAGCAUGGGUAGCGAACAGGAUUAGAUACCCUGGUAGUCCAUGCCGUAAACGGUGGGCGCUAGGUGUAGGGGGCUUCCACGUCUUCUGUGCCGUAGCUAACGCAUUAAGCGCCCCGCCUGGGGAGUACGGCCGCAAGGCUA
This 550-nucleotide ribosomal RNA is filed under the name uncultured bacterium. RNAcentral describes it as "bacterial SSU rRNA". It matches the Rfam family "Bacterial small subunit ribosomal RNA", at positions 355 to 896 of the family's 1533-position model. The record is from RNAcentral.